RNAcentral lists this ribosomal RNA (601 nucleotides) under uncultured bacterium. Its description in RNAcentral is "bacterial SSU rRNA". It matches the Rfam family "Bacterial small subunit ribosomal RNA", at positions 89 to 725 of the family's 1533-position model. The record is from RNAcentral.
GGUGGAGCGGCGGACGAGUUAGUGACGCGUGGGAAUAUACCCUUCUCUACGGAAUAGCCUCGGGAAACUGAGAGUAAUACCGUAUACGCCCUUUGGGGGAAAGAUUUAUCGGAGAAGGAUUAGCCCGCGUAAGAUUAGAUAGUUGGUGGGGUAAUGGCCUACCAAGUCUACGAUCUUUAGCUGGUUUUAGAGGAUGAUCAGCAACACUGGGACUGAGACACGGCCCAGACUCCUACGGGAGGCAGCAGUGGGGAAUCUUAGACAAUGGGCGAAAGCCUGAUCUAGCCAUGCCGCGUGAGUGAAGAAGGCCCUAGGGUCGUAAAGCUCUUUCGCCAGGGAUGAUAAUGACAGUACCUGGUAAAGAAGCCCCGGCUAACUCCGUGCCAGCAGCCGCGGUAAUACGGAGGGGGCUAGCGUUGUUCGGAAUUACUGGGCGUAAAGCGCACGUAGGCGGAUCAGAAAGUAAGGGGUGAAAUCCCGAGGCUCAACCUCGGAACUGCCUCUUAAACUCCUGGUCUUGAGUUCGAGAGAGGUGAGUGGAAUUCCAAGUGUAGAGGUGAAAUUCGUAGAUAUUUGGAGGAACACCAGUGGCGAAAGCGGC